ACGGAGGGUGCGAGCGUUAAUCGGAAUAACUGGGCGUAAAGGGCACGCAGGCGGACUUUUAAGUGAGAUGUGAAAGCCCCGGGCUUAACCUGGGAAUUGCAUUUCAGACUGGGAGUCUAGAGUACUUUAGGGAGGGGUAGAAUUCCACGUGUAGCGGUGAAAUGCGUAGAGAUGUGGAGGAAUACCGAAGGCGAAGGCAGCCCCUUGGGAAUGUACUGACGCUCAUGUGCGAAAGCGUGGGGAGCAAACAG
RNAcentral lists this ribosomal RNA (251 nucleotides) under uncultured bacterium. RNAcentral describes it as "partial 16S ribosomal RNA". It matches the Rfam family "Bacterial small subunit ribosomal RNA", at positions 525 to 775 of the family's 1533-position model. The record is from RNAcentral.